CUACGGGUUGCUGCAGUGGGGAAUAUUGGACAAUGGGGGCAACCCUGAUCCAGCAAUGCCGCGUGUGUGAAGAAGGCCUUCGGGUUGUAAAGCACUUUGGCCUGGGAAGAAGGCUUGUAUUUUAAGAGAUAACAAGCUUGACGGUACCAGGAGAACAAGCACCGGCAAACUCUGUGCCAGCAGCCGCGGUAAUACAGAGGGUGCGAGCGUUAAUCGGAAUUACUGGGCGUAAAACGCGCGUAGGUGGUUAGAUCAGUUGGGUGUGAAAGCCCCGGGCUCAACCUGGGAAUUGCAUCCAAUACUGUCUGGCUAGAGUAUGGUAGAGGGAAGUGGAAUUCCGCAUGUAGCGGUGAAAUGCGUAGAGAUGCGGAGGAACACCAGUGGCGAAGGCGACUUUCUGGACCAAUACUGACACUGAGGUGCGAAAGCGUGGGGAGCAAACAGGAUUAGAUACCCCAGUAGUC
Molecule: ribosomal RNA, 464 nt
Filed under: uncultured bacterium
Lineage: Bacteria
Description: partial 16S ribosomal RNA
Rfam family: Bacterial small subunit ribosomal RNA
Source: RNAcentral